Molecule: transfer RNA, 73 nt
Filed under: Pediastrum duplex
Lineage: Eukaryota; Viridiplantae; Chlorophyta; Chlorophyceae; Sphaeropleales; Hydrodictyaceae
Description: tRNA-Glu
Rfam family: tRNA
About the family: Transfer RNA (tRNA) molecules are approximately 80 nucleotides in length.
Source: RNAcentral
GUCCUCUUCGUCUAGUGGUUAGGACAGCGCUCUUUCAAGGCGUAAACGCGGGUUCAAUUCCCGCAGGGGAUAC